CACGUAGGCGGCCAUUCAAGUCAGAGGUGAAAGCCCGGGGCUCAACCCCGGGCGUGCAGUGGAAACUGCCGGGCUAGAGGGCGGCAGAGGCGAGUGGAAUUCCCGGUGUAGCGGUGAAAUGCGCAGAUAUCGGGAGGAACACCAGUAGCGAAGGCGGCUCGCUGGGCCGUCCCUGACGCUGAGACGCGAAAGCUAGGGGAGCGAACA
Molecule: ribosomal RNA, 207 nt
Filed under: uncultured bacterium
Lineage: Bacteria
Description: partial 16S ribosomal RNA
Rfam family: Bacterial small subunit ribosomal RNA
Source: RNAcentral